RNAcentral lists this ribosomal RNA (151 nucleotides) under Geosmithia sp. IVV7. RNAcentral's name for it is "5.8S ribosomal RNA". It matches the Rfam family "5.8S ribosomal RNA". Rfam says of the family: 5.8S ribosomal RNA (5.8S rRNA) is a component of the large subunit of the eukaryotic ribosome. It is transcribed by RNA polymerase I as part of the 45S precursor that also contains 18S and 28S rRNA. Lineage: Eukaryota; Fungi; Ascomycota; Sordariomycetes; Hypocreales; Bionectriaceae. The record is from RNAcentral.
CAGCAACGGAUCUCUUGGUUCUGGCAUCGAUGAAGAACGCAGCGAAAUGCGAUAAGUAAUGUGAAUUGCAGAAUUCAGUGAAUCAUCGAAUCUUUGAACGCACAUUGCGCCCGCCAGUACUCUGGCGGGCAUGCCUGUCCGAGCGUCAUUU